This 478-nucleotide ribosomal RNA is filed under the name uncultured bacterium. Its description in RNAcentral is "partial 16S ribosomal RNA". It matches the Rfam family "Bacterial small subunit ribosomal RNA", at positions 28 to 523 of the family's 1533-position model. The record is from RNAcentral.
GACGAACGCUGGCGGCGUGCUUAACACAUGCAAGUCGAACGGUAAGGCCCUUCGGGGUACACGAGUGGCGAACGGGUGAGUAACACGUGGGUGAUCUGCCCUGCACUUCGGGAUAAGCCUGGGAAACUGGGUCUAAUACCGGAUAGGACCACUGCCUGCAAGGGGGGUGGUGGAAAGCUUUUGCGGUGGGGGAUGGGCCCGCGGCCUAUCAGCUUGUUGGUGGGGUGAUGGCCUACCAAGGCGACGACGGGUAGCCGGCCUGAGAGGGUGACCGGCCACACUGGGACUGAGAUACGGCCCAGACUCCUACGGGAGGCAGCAGUGGGGAAUAUUGCACAAUGGGCGCAAGCCUGAUGCAGCGACGCCGCGUGAGGGAUGACGGCCUUCGGGUUGUAAACCUCUUUCAGCACCGACGAAGCGCAAGUGACGGUAGGUGCAGAAGAAGGACCGGCCAACUACGUGCCAGCAGCCGCCGCCG